AUGCCCCCUAUUUUCCUUCCCGAAUCGGGUCUGUGUUUCAUGCUGGAGCCUUCCACCUACAGUGAAAAGAGCCUCAAUCUUAGGCCAGAUCCUACGGUCUCUCCUUCCCUACAUGCAACAUGUUGCCAUGAGACACUGUCAUGCUGCUUGCCUACAGUCUCCCUACUCUGGCUACAGAAUGGACCACACUUCAGACAAAUGGACUACAGCAGGCUCAGCCACAGUUUGGCAAAGCACCAACAACCCAGGAGAGCUGGGCAAAUGGCCAAACAAUUUCAGACUAUAAUGCUUAAUCUUCUCAUAGCAAUUUAG
This 312-nucleotide long non-coding RNA is filed under the name Canis lupus familiaris (dog). Its description in RNAcentral is "lncRNA (ENSCAFG00000035183.3)". The record is from RNAcentral. Lineage: Eukaryota; Metazoa; Chordata; Mammalia; Carnivora; Canidae.